Molecule: transfer RNA, 81 nt
Filed under: Hofstenia miamia
Lineage: Eukaryota; Metazoa; Xenacoelomorpha; Acoela; Hofsteniidae
Description: tRNA-Leu for anticodon CAG
Rfam family: tRNA
About the family: Transfer RNA (tRNA) molecules are approximately 80 nucleotides in length. Their secondary structure includes four short double-helical elements and three loops (D, anti-codon, and T loops).
Source: RNAcentral
GGCAGAGUGGCCGAGUGGUCUAAGGCGCUAGUUUCAGGUACUAGUAUCUUCGGAGCGUGGGUUCGAAUCCCACCUCUGUCA